UUUUUUAUAGAAAAUCUCUAAAAUUAUUUUCUAUCUAAUUUUGUUUUCAAAACAUUUUUAAAAUCAUUUUUAGUAUUUAUUUUCUAUUUUCUCUUAUUUUCCUUAUUAUUUUAAUUUCCAAUUUAAUUUUCAAACAUUUUUUAGUUCAAACUUUUAAGAUCUAAUUGCUUGUAGUUUUUUUUACUUUCUCAAAUUAUCUUGGCAUUUUAUUUGAUGUUUUGAUGCCUGUUUGGUAAAUUCCAUUUAAUUUCCAUUUUAAAAUCAUGUUUAUUU
Molecule: long non-coding RNA, 273 nt
Filed under: Lathyrus oleraceus (garden pea)
Lineage: Eukaryota; Viridiplantae; Streptophyta; Magnoliopsida; Fabales; Fabaceae
Description: Pisum sativum (pea) long non-coding RNA (PSAT_LNC041918)
Source: RNAcentral